GAUGAACGCUGGCGGCGUGCCUAAUACAUGCAAGUCGAGCGAACGGACGAGAAGCUUGCUUCUCUGAUGUUAGCGGCGGACGGGUGAGUAACACGUGGAUAACCUACCUAUAAGACUGGGAUAACUUCGGGAAACCGGAGCUAAUACCGGAUAAUAUUUUGAACCGCAUGGUUCAAAAGUGAAAGACGGCCUUGCUGUCACUUAUAGAUGGAUCCGCGCUGCAUUAGCUAGUUGGUAAGGUAACGGCUUACCAAGGCAACGAUGCAUAGCCGACCUGAGAGGGUGAUCGGCCACACUGGAACUGAGACACGGUCCAGACUCCUACGGGAGGCAGCAGUAGGGAAUCUUCCGCAAUGGGCGAAAGCCUGACGGAGCAACGCCGCGUGAGUGAUGAAGGUCUUCGGAUCGUAAAACUCUGAUUAGGGAAGAACAUAUGUGUAAGUAACUGUGCACAUCUUGACGGUACCUAAUCAGAAAGCCACGGCUAACUACGUG
This 495-nucleotide ribosomal RNA is filed under the name uncultured bacterium. Its description in RNAcentral is "partial 16S ribosomal RNA". It matches the Rfam family "Bacterial small subunit ribosomal RNA", at positions 28 to 507 of the family's 1533-position model. The record is from RNAcentral.